UGGAGAGCCUGUUAAUGAAAUUGAUAGAAAAAGAUUUGAGGGUCAUGAGAACGAUAACAAAGUUAAUGGAGCAACUUCCACAUCGAAACAAGAAGAAACUGUCUGGGUGGAGGGUCUUCUCCCUGGCAUUGACUUUUGCAACCAUGACUUGAAGGCAGUGGCAACAUGGGAAGUUU
This is a long non-coding RNA of Hibiscus syriacus, 176 nucleotides long. RefSeq lists it as uncharacterized. The transcript is spliced from 3 exons. Lineage: Eukaryota; Viridiplantae; Streptophyta; Magnoliopsida; Malvales; Malvaceae. The record is from RefSeq and is a predicted model, not a curated record.